Molecule: long non-coding RNA, 124 nt
Organism: Sander lucioperca (pikeperch)
Lineage: Eukaryota; Metazoa; Chordata; Actinopteri; Perciformes; Percidae
Exons: 4
Source: RefSeq, a predicted model, not a curated record
AGUUAGACAGUGUGCAGGAGUUUCUUUGGUACUUUUGACCUACUCGUUCCUCUCCAACGCACCUGUCUCAUGUUAUAGAUGUGCAAAGUAUUUUUCUCUGUUCUAUCCUGUUGCCUACAUUCAA